Molecule: ribosomal RNA, 465 nt
Filed under: uncultured bacterium
Lineage: Bacteria
Description: partial 16S ribosomal RNA
Rfam family: Bacterial small subunit ribosomal RNA
Source: RNAcentral
CCUACGGGUGGCAGCAGUGGGGAAUAUUGCGCAAUGGGCGAAAGCCUGACGCAGCGACGCCGCGUGAGGGAUGAAGGUCUUCGGAUCGUAAACCUCUGUCAGCAGGGAAGAAAGGUCACUGUGCUAAUCAGCAGUGAAUUGACGGUACCUGCAAAGGAAGCACCGGCUAACUCCGUGCCAGCAGCCGCGGUAAUACGGAGGGUGCGAGCGUUAAUCGGAAUUACUGGGCGUAAAGCGCUCGUAGGCGGUAUGUCAAGUCAAGUGUGAAAUCCCCGCGCUCAACGUGGGAACUGCCUUUGAAACUGGCAGACUGGAGUAUGUGAGAGGAUAGUGGAAUUCCAGGUGUAGGGGUGAAAUCCGUAGAUAUCUGGAAGAACAUCGGUGGCGAAGGCGACUAUCUGGCACAUAACUGACGCUGAGGAGCGAAAGCGUGGGUAGCAAACAGGAUUAGAUACCCCAGUAGUC